GGUGUAGCGCAGUUGGUAGCGCGCUUGGUUCGGGACCAAGAGGUCGUGGGUUCGAAUCCCGUCACU
This 66-nucleotide transfer RNA is filed under the name human gut metagenome. It matches the Rfam family "tRNA", at positions 5 to 66 of the family's 71-position model. From Rfam's summary of the family: Transfer RNA (tRNA) molecules are approximately 80 nucleotides in length. Their secondary structure includes four short double-helical elements and three loops (D, anti-codon, and T loops). Further hydrogen bonds mediate the characteristic L-shaped molecular structure. tRNAs have two regions of fundamental functional importance: the anti-codon, which is responsible for specific mRNA codon recognition, and the 3' end, to which the tRNAs corresponding amino acid is attached (by aminoacyl-tRNA synthetases). tRNAs cope with the degeneracy of the genetic code in two manners: having more than one tRNA (with a specific anti-codon) for a particular amino acid; and 'wobble' base-pairing, i.e. permitting non-standard base-pairing at the 3rd anti-codon position. RNAcentral also lists the same sequence under 1 other name. The record is from RNAcentral.